UCUUCAAGCUCCGAACCACCAAGAGGAAUGUGGACGUUUAUGGGGAGAUCGCAUGCUUCCUGAUGGUUAAAGGCUAUUCCAGGGACAGCCAGCAGUGCCGAAUCAAAAUCCUGAUGCAAUCCUACCAGAAGGCGAAGGAGGAUGGCUCCCACACUGCACCAACCUCAGGAGAGCAAUUCCGGGAAUGGACAUGGCAGCUGAUUUCAAGAGCAAUG
This is a non-coding RNA of Pelodiscus sinensis (Chinese soft-shelled turtle), 215 nucleotides long. The record is from RefSeq and is a predicted model, not a curated record. NCBI's taxonomy places the organism in Eukaryota, Metazoa, Chordata, Testudines, Trionychidae.